UUUGUCCUGUGUCUGUCAGCACCACAGGCACAGCACAGCUGCUUAGCUGUGUCUGUCACAUCAGGGCUGGGGGCAAGUGGCUAUUUCUGCACUCAGUGUUCAGAAGCCAGUAAGCACUGAAUAGUGUUUGGCUGAUAGCCUCACAUUU
Small nucleolar RNA from Rattus norvegicus (Norway rat), 148 nucleotides. Ensembl annotates it as small nucleolar RNA SNORA43. NCBI's taxonomy places the organism in Eukaryota, Metazoa, Chordata, Mammalia, Rodentia, Muridae. The record is from Ensembl.